Molecule: ribosomal RNA, 898 nt
Organism: Neurospora crassa OR74A
Lineage: Eukaryota; Fungi; Ascomycota; Sordariomycetes; Sordariales; Sordariaceae
Source: RefSeq, a predicted model, not a curated record
UUAAUUCUAUUAGUAGUUAUAUAUUUAUUUUAAAGAUUAAGUUAUAUAUAUUUAAAUUUAAGUAAUUAAAUUGCGAAAUUGCAAAUAGUUUAUUAAAUUAAUUAUAAUUUAUUUAAUAGUACUUUACUAUAUAAAUAACUAUAGUAAUUCUAGAGUUAAUAUAUGUUAAAAACCCUAAUUUCGGAAGGGGUAUAUUUAUUAGAUUAAAAAUUAAUACCCUUUAGGGUUAAUUAGUAAUUUAUAAUAAUUUUUCGAAUUAUAUAGCUUUACGUUAGUAAUAGUUUAUUUAAAUUUUUGCCCUAUUAAUUUUCGACGGUUGGGUUUUGGCUAGUUAUAGUGAUAAUAGGUAAUGGAGGGUUAGGGCUCGACCUUGGAGAAGGAGUUUGAGAAACGGCUAUUAUAUUUAAGGAAGGUAGUAAGCGUGUAAAUUAUUUAAUUCCGAUAUAGGGAGGUAGUAAUAAUAAAUAUUAAUAUAAGGCUCUUUUAGGUUUUGUAAUUAGAAUAAGUAUAAUUUAAAUCCUUUAACGAGGAAUAAUUGGAGGGUAAGUUUGGUGCUAGUAGUUGCGGUAAUUCUAAUUCUAAUAGUAUAUAUUAAAGUUAUUGAGGUUAAAAAGUUUGUAAUUGAACUUUGGGCUCGGCUUAUUAGUCCGUUUUACUAUAUAUAUUAAUUGGGUUGGGCCUUUUUUUUUGGAGAACUAUAUACUUUUUAUUAAGUAUGUUGGGGAAUUAGGACUUUUACUAUAAAUAAAUUAGAUUAUUUAAAGAAGGCCUAUAUUCGAAUAUAUUAGUAUAGAAUAAUAGAAUAGAAUAUAUAGUUCUAUUUUAUUAGUUUCUAGGACUGUUGUAAUAAUUAAUAAGGAUAGUCGGGGGUAUUAGUAUUUAAUUAUUAGAGGUGAAA